GAUGAACGCUGGCGGCGUGCCUAAUACAUGCAAGUCGAGCGAACAGACGAGGAGCUUGCUCCUCUGACGUUAGCGGCGGACGGGUGAGUAACACGUGGAUAACCUACCUAUAAGACUGGGAUAACUUCGGGAAACCGGAGCUAAUACCGGAUAAUAUAUUGAACCGCAUGGUUCAAUAGUGAAAGACGGUUUUGCUGUCACUUAUAGAUGGAUCCGCGCCGCAUUAGCUAGUUGGUAAGGUAACGGCUUACCAAGGCAACGAUGCGUAGCCGACCGAGGGGGGGGAUCGGCCACACUGGAACUGAGCCACGGUCCAGCCUCCUCCGGGAGGCAGCAGUAGGAAAUCUGCCGCAAUGGGCGAAAGCUUGACGGAGCAACGCGGCGUGAGUGAUGAAGGUCUUCGGAUCGUAAAACUCUGUUAUUAGGGAAGAAAAAAUGUGUAAGUAACCAUGCACGUCUUGACGGUACCUAUCAGAAAGCCACGGCUAACUACGUG
Molecule: ribosomal RNA, 496 nt
Filed under: uncultured bacterium
Lineage: Bacteria
Description: partial 16S ribosomal RNA
Rfam family: Bacterial small subunit ribosomal RNA
Source: RNAcentral